UACAGAGGGGGCAAGCGUUGUUCGGAAUUACUGGGCGUAAAGGGCGCGUAGGCGGCCUGCUAAGUCGAACGUGAAAUCCCCGGGCUCAACCCGGGAACUGCGUCCGAUACUGGUGGGCUUGAAUCCGGGAGAGGGAUGUGGAAUUCCUGGUGUAGCGGUGAAAUGCGCAGAUAUCAGGAGGAACACCUAUUGCGAAGGCAGCUCGCUGGGACGUAACUGACGCUGAGACGCGAAAGCGUGGGGAGCAAACAGG
Molecule: ribosomal RNA, 253 nt
Filed under: uncultured bacterium
Lineage: Bacteria
Description: partial 16S ribosomal RNA
Rfam family: Bacterial small subunit ribosomal RNA
Source: RNAcentral